CCAAUAACAAUAUUUUAUUCAGUGUAUUUCGCGGAUAUUUUUCCAGAGUUUGAUACCACAAUGAUCUGCAUGCGAAUGCAAUAGUGGGCAGUGGCAGUGCAACAACUGAACCAACAGCAUAAUUGUUUGUGGUAUCAACCUCGUGCCUUCAUUUGAGCUGCAAACCCAAAGCCAUGGAGCCUGUGCCUCUGCCCGGGCCAUUCUCGCCGGCGGGUGCCCGCUAUGGUGGUGGCUCACCCUUUGUGAACCCAGUCUGUGGUCACUGGUCGUGCCCUCUGACGGUGGCCCAUCACCACUGUCGUCAGUGUGGCUAUGGAGGCACUGAGGUCGGCCAACUGAAGCUUCACAACUGCCGCCCCACCUACCUAUCGGAGCUAGCGCCGCCCGGGCCUGCGGCGUCGCUUUUCCGACCCCCUCCGCCCUCCGACUACUUCCGAUCGGGCCCAGCCGAGCAGACUGAAUACGGCCGGCUGGCCUCUCGGUCACUGUUCGCUCCCGCCGCGAUGAUGUCGGGCCCCGCGGCAAUGAUGCCGGGUCAGUACUUCCCGGCGCCGCCGCCAGGGGCGCCAGUGUUCCGGCCUCCGGUACCGUCUCCGCCGCCACCGUCGCAAAGAACGGUCUCAGUCGUCUGCCGUUCAGGGAGACACUGAGGCAGAUGGAGAGGAUCAAGAACCUGCCACCAUCGAUGUGGAAGACGCUGAUGAUCAGCGAACCGACUCGCCCGCCUGUGCGGCCGGCGGGUCCUUGGACAGCGGGGACGACACCUCCCUGUCCCCCAUCAAUGUGGAGAUCGAGGUGCAUUGUCUGAUCUGCAGCACACUCAUCAACCUGCAGCUGGAUCAGUACUGUGAUAUCUACCUGGAUAAUAUCGUCACGGCGCACUCCAAACUGCCCGUCUCAGAGAAACUGGGACGGGUGCUCAGGUACCACUUCUCGCCGGAGUUGCUGUACAGCCACACCCUUUGCCGACGCUGCUUCAACAUUAUCAACGGCAUCGACCAGCUGGAGGGCCGGCUGGACAAACUCAGGUCGGAGGUGCGGGAUAAGUUCAGCAUCACCUGUCGAGAGCGCGGGCUUCACCCGGACCAUUUUCCGGCACGGCCCGAGUCGGCGCAGGGAAGAACUGAGGACGGAAGGCAGUCAGGGAGGCAGUCAGUCUCAGAAAACAGUGGGACGGAUUCCCCGGAUGGAAGAGAGGCGGAAACCGCCCGGAAGGGUCCACAACGGACGACGGAGCUUCGUUCUAGUGAUGGAGGGACGGUGGAAUCUAAUCGCGAUUCCGCACGGCGAGCGGCGACUAGGGACGCAGUGACGGAGACGCUAGCUCCGACAGCCAGCCGAGAGAUUGCCACAGGCACAUGUCCCCCCGCGGGCCAGGAGCGGGCCACGCAGACCUCACCCCCGGCACUACCCUGGCAGUGCGGGCGGUGCGGUCGUGGAUUCCGCUACCGCAGUACGCUGAAACGCCACGCGGCCGGUCACUCUGGGGGUAGACGAGUGUCAUCUCCAGCGCCGGCGCGGCUGCGUUGUCCAGGCUGCCGCUGCGCGCUGGAGAGCCGUGCGGCGUUAUUAGCGCAUGUGUGUAAAGCCGCGACAAAUGUGGCGCGCCUGCGCUGUGCCGGCUGUGGGAAGGAGUUUCGUCAGCGUCGGAAUCUACUGGCUCAUAGAAGACUGUGUGGAGAGGUGGAGGUACUCCAGUGUGAUCAAUGUGAUGUGAAGGUGAAGGGUCGAGCGGCCCUAAAGAGACACCAGAUGGUGCAUCUGAGCAACUAUCCUCUCCGCUGCCCCGUUUGUGAUAAGGGUUUUGUGAAACCCAGUGAUAUGGCGAGGCACCAGAGGACACAUGCCAAAGUGAAGUCCCAUGUGUGUGAAACGUGCGGUAAACAGUUUUCUACCGCCUCGAACUAUAAUCAGCAUGUCGCGAAGGUGCAUCAAGCGACGAAAAUGUUCAAAUGUAGUGAAUGUCCAAAGAGUUAUUCGUAUCGGAGCUCUUUACAGCUUCAUAUGAAAAGUCACGGGGGAGACAAGUCGUUUUCGUGUGAACAGUGCGGGAAGAAGUUCUUAUAUAAGAACAACCUGACCAGGCACCUGAAGGUACACUCUGCCAGUGCUAGUCAUAAUAUCAAGUGCAAUAAAUGUGAUACUGCGCUCGCUGAUGAAUCGGCUCUCAAAGACCACUUAGUGGCGUGCUACUGAAAAUAAACGUAUCAGCUCGAUCUC
Molecule: unclassified non-coding RNA, 2220 nt
Filed under: Amphibalanus amphitrite
Lineage: Eukaryota; Metazoa; Arthropoda; Thecostraca; Balanomorpha; Balanidae
Description: transcription factor SPT20 homolog, transcript variant X2
Source: RNAcentral